GGGUACUAGCCUCUGCAGUAUCCAGACAGCUUCAAGGAGCGGUGUCUCAGAAAGGCAGCGUCCAUUAUUAAGGACCCCCACCACCCAGGGCAUGCCCUUUUCUCACUGCUACGAUCAGGUUGCCGCCCAACUCAGAGAAACUGCCGCGAAACUCUGCCUUUUAAGUCCCGAUUGAAAGGGACUUGAUUGAAAGGUUAUGUGUAUUGCAUUGAACUGCUGCUGCCCAACGCCGGCCCCCUAGGCCUGAGUCGACGUCGUAGUAGUAGUAGUAGCUGCUGCUAAGUUAACAAAUUUCACGUCAUAUGCCGGUGAUAAUAAACCUGAUUCUGAUUCUUAUUCUGAUUCUGAAGACUGGUCAUAGAACAUGGAACAUUGGA
Mobula hypostoma (lesser devil ray) is the source of this 377-nucleotide long non-coding RNA. RefSeq lists it as uncharacterized. The record is from RefSeq and is a predicted model, not a curated record. The transcript has 3 exons. Lineage: Eukaryota; Metazoa; Chordata; Chondrichthyes; Myliobatiformes; Myliobatidae.